RNAcentral lists this ribosomal RNA (730 nucleotides) under bacterium SCSIO13007. RNAcentral's name for it is "bacterial SSU rRNA". It matches the Rfam family "Bacterial small subunit ribosomal RNA", at positions 77 to 815 of the family's 1533-position model. The record is from RNAcentral.
CACUUGUGUUGGGUGGAUGAGUGGCGAACGGGUGAGUAAUACGUGAGUGACCUGCCCUUGACUCUGGGAUAAGCCUGGGAAACUGGGUCUAAUACUGGAUACGACCAACGGAUGCAUGUCCUGUUGGUGGAAAGGGUUUGUACUGGUUUUGGAUGGGCUCACGGCCUAUCAGCUUGUUGGUGGGGUAAUGGCUUACCAAGGCGACGACGGGUAGCCGGCCUGAGAGGGUGACCGGCCACACUGGGACUGAGACACGGCCCAGACUCCUACGGGAGGCAGCAGUGGGGAAUAUUGCACAAUGGGCGCAAGCCUGAUGCAGCGACGCCGCGUGAGGGAUGACGGCCUUCGGGUUGUAAACCUCUUUCAGCAGGGAAGAAGCUUUUGUGACGGUACCUGUAGAAGAAGCGCCGGCUAACUACGUGCCAGCAGCCGCGGUAAUACGUAGGGCGCAAGCGUUGUCCGGAAUUAUUGGGCGUAAAGAGCUCGUAGGCGGUUUGUCGCGUCUGCUGUGAAAGCCCGGGGCUUAACUCCGGGUGUGCAGUGGGUACGGGCAGACUGGAGUGCAGUAGGGGAGACUGGAAUUCCUGGUGUAGCGGUGAAAUGCGCAGAUAUCAGGAGGAACACCGAUGGCGAAGGCAGGUCUCUGGGCUGUUACUGACGCUGAGGAGCGAAAGCAUGGGGAGCGAACAGGAUUAGAUACCCUGGUAGUCCAUGCCGUAAACGUUGGGCA